RNAcentral lists this transfer RNA (75 nucleotides) under Bacillus phage vB_BanS-Thrax1. RNAcentral's name for it is "tRNA-Cys". It matches the Rfam family "tRNA". Rfam says of the family: Transfer RNA (tRNA) molecules are approximately 80 nucleotides in length. Their secondary structure includes four short double-helical elements and three loops (D, anti-codon, and T loops). Further hydrogen bonds mediate the characteristic L-shaped molecular structure. tRNAs have two regions of fundamental functional importance: the anti-codon, which is responsible for specific mRNA codon recognition, and the 3' end, to which the tRNAs corresponding amino acid is attached (by aminoacyl-tRNA synthetases). tRNAs cope with the degeneracy of the genetic code in two manners: having more than one tRNA (with a specific anti-codon) for a particular amino acid; and 'wobble' base-pairing, i.e. permitting non-standard base-pairing at the 3rd anti-codon position. The record is from RNAcentral. Lineage: Duplodnaviria; Heunggongvirae; Uroviricota; Caudoviricetes.
GGGGCUGUGGUGAAGGGGUUUAACACGCUAGUCUGCAAAACUAGUAUACGCCAGUUCAAAUCUGGUCAGUCCCUC